AGGACGAACGCUGGCGGCGUGCUUAACACAUGCAAGUCAAGGGGGCCCAGCAAUGGGCAACCGGCGAACGGGUGCGUAACACGUGAGCAACCUACCGAACUGUGGGGGAUAGCCGGCCUAACGGCCGAGUAAUACCGCAUACGCUCUCAGAGAGGCAUUUCUUUGAGAGGAAACCUACGGGACAGAUCGAGGGGCUCGCGGCCUAUCAGCUAGUUGGCGAGGUAACGGCUCACCAAGGCAACGACGGGUAGCUGGUCUGAGAGGAUGGCCAGCCACAUUGGGACUGAGAUACGGCCCAGACUCCUACGGAGGCAGCAGUGGGAAUCUGCGCAAUGGCCUAAGGCUGACGCAGCGACGCCGCGUGUGGAUGGAAGCUCUUCGGGAGUGGUAAACCACUGUUGCCCGGACGAACAGCUCGAUUAAUCGAGCCUGACGGUACCGGUGAAGGAAGCACCGGCUAACUCCGCGACCAGCACGCCGACGUAAUCUGA
Molecule: ribosomal RNA, 491 nt
Filed under: uncultured soil bacterium
Lineage: Bacteria
Description: bacterial SSU rRNA
Rfam family: Bacterial small subunit ribosomal RNA
Source: RNAcentral